UAGGGAAUCUUCGGCAAUGGACGGAAGUUUGACCGAGCAACGCCGCGUGAGUGAAGAAGGUUUUCGGAUCGUAAAGCUCUGUUGUAAGAGAAGAACGAGUGUGAGAGUGGAAAGUUCACACUGUGACGGUAUCUUACCAGAAAGGGACGGCUAACUACGUGCCAGCAGCCGCGGGUAAUACGUAGGUCCCGAGCGUUGUCCGGAUUUAUUGGGCGUAAAGCGAGCGCAGGCGGUUAGAUAAGUCUGAAGUUAAAGGCUGUGGCUUAACCAUAGUAGGCUUUGGAAACUGUUUAACUUGAGUGCAAGAGGGGGAGAGUGGAAUUCCAUGUGUAGCGGUGAAAUGCGUAGAUAUAUGGAGGAACACCGGUGGCGAAAGCGGCUCUCUGGCUUGUAACUGACGCUGAGGCUCGAAAGCGUGGGGGAGNAAACAGGAUUAGAUACCCUGGUAGUCCACGCUGUAAACGAUGAGUGCUAGGUGUUAGACCCUUUCCGGGGUUUAGUGCCGUAGCUAACGCAUUAAGCACUCCGCCUGGGGAGNACGACCGCAAGGUU
RNAcentral lists this ribosomal RNA (552 nucleotides) under uncultured bacterium. RNAcentral's name for it is "bacterial SSU rRNA". It matches the Rfam family "Bacterial small subunit ribosomal RNA", at positions 355 to 895 of the family's 1533-position model. The record is from RNAcentral.